UGACCAUGUGAUUAUUAAUUAGUAUAUAUGCCUUUUAAAAUCAUAUUUUCUUAUGUCGACCACAUUAUAAUGUCACCUAGCGUUGGGGGGAAUCGUGAUUGCAAAGUUGCUAUUAUGCUUAAAAUCCUAAACCCGUUUUCAGUUGCAAGUCUCUCUUACACUCACCCAAAAAAUUAUCAAGAAACAAAAGGGUUAAUAAAGUGAUGAACUUUUAUGAUGAUGAGAAGGUCAAAAGGAGUUAAACACACAUCACAAGGGAUUGUGGAUUUUUUUGGUCAAACACAAAAGGAUUGUGUUUAUGUGAUAUGUUUUCUUUUAGAUACAUUAUCAGUUUUUUGUUUGCCACUUUCUACGUUUCUUUUUUUUCUUUUCUCUUUUUUCCGCUUACUACGUUUCGUCAUGUGAUGUCCCAUCUUUUUCGAUGUUUAGAUUUCAUGUCCAAAUCAAGAUUGGGUUUGGUUGGGUCAACCCAAAUUAAAGAUGUUCAUGAAGAUGAUGAAUAAAUAACACAAAUGAAGAAACUGUAUCUUCUUUUGUAUAGCGUUGCUACUAUAAUUACACACACGAAUUUUUUUAAAGAUGUUAUGGUAAGUUUUUUUUUUUUUUGCUUAAAAGAUGUUAUGGUAAGUUGGUAACAAUGGAAUCCAGAAGACUGCCGUGUAUGAUCCUCGAAUGCCUUCUCAUGUGGAUUUGACAGUGGCCACUAUUACAUUGAAACCGGAGUGGCCGGAGAGAAGAGAAACAGAGCUACCAAUCAUCAGUUUGAUAACGUAAACUGUAAAGACUGAAACUUAGGGUUACCAGCCAGAUGAGGUGCACGUGACUUAUGCAAGGGGUUUACUUAAUUUUAAUUGUAAGCAAUCUCUGAUUAAUCCCACAUAGCUUGUUUUUUAGUUUGUGGUUAGAUAUAUAUA
This is a long non-coding RNA of Brassica napus (rape), 914 nucleotides long. RefSeq lists it as uncharacterized. The transcript has 2 exons. The record is from RefSeq and is a predicted model, not a curated record. NCBI's taxonomy places the organism in Eukaryota, Viridiplantae, Streptophyta, Magnoliopsida, Brassicales, Brassicaceae.